This 1249-nucleotide ribosomal RNA is filed under the name Lactiplantibacillus plantarum. Its description in RNAcentral is "bacterial SSU rRNA". It matches the Rfam family "Bacterial small subunit ribosomal RNA", at positions 118 to 1354 of the family's 1533-position model. RNAcentral also lists the same sequence under 2 other names. Lineage: Bacteria; Bacillati; Bacillota; Bacilli; Lactobacillales; Lactobacillaceae. The record is from RNAcentral.
UGGGAAACCUGCCCAGAAGCGGGGGAUAACACCUGGAAACAGAUGCUAAUACCGCAUAACAACUUGGACCGCAUGGUCCGAGCUUGAAAGAUGGCUUCGGCUAUCACUUUUGGAUGGUCCCGCGGCGUAUUAGCUAGAUGGUGGGGUAACGGCUCACCAUGGCAAUGAUACGUAGCCGACCUGAGAGGGUAAUCGGCCACAUUGGGACUGAGACACGGCCCAAACUCCUACGGGAGGCAGCAGUAGGGAAUCUUCCACAAUGGACGAAAGUCUGAUGGAGCAACGCCGCGUGAGUGAAGAAGGGUUUCGGCUCGUAAAACUCUGUUGUUAAAGAAGAACAUAUCUGAGAGUAACUGUUCAGGUAUUGACGGUAUUUAACCAGAAAGCCACGGCUAACUACGUGCCAGCAGCCGCGGUAAUACGUAGGUGGCAAGCGUUGUCCGGAUUUAUUGGGCGUAAAGCGAGCGCAGGCGGUUUUUUAAGUCUGAUGUGAAAGCCUUCGGCUCAACCGAAGAAGUGCAUCGGAAACUGGGAAACUUGAGUGCAGAAGAGGACAGUGGAACUCCAUGUGUAGCGGUGAAAUGCGUAGAUAUAUGGAAGAACACCAGUGGCGAAGGCGGCUGUCUGGUCUGUAACUGACGCUGAGGCUCGAAAGUAUGGGUAGCAAACAGGAUUAGAUACCCUGGUAGUCCAUACCGUAAACGAUGAAUGCUAAGUGUUGGAGGGUUUCCGCCCUUCAGUGCUGCAGCUAACGCAUUAAGCAUUCCGCCUGGGGAGUACGGCCGCAAGGCUGAAACUCAAAGGAAUUGACGGGGGCCCGCACAAGCGGUGGAGCAUGUGGUUUAAUUCGAAGCUACGCGAAGAACCUUACCAGGUCUUGACAUACUAUGCAAAUCUAAGAGAUUAGACGUUCCCUUCGGGGACAUGGAUACAGGUGGUGCAUGGUUGUCGUCAGCUCGUGUCGUGAGAUGUUGGGUUAAGUCCCGCAACGAGCGCAACCCUUAUUAUCAGUUGCCAGCAUUAAGUUGGGCACUCUGGUGAGACUGCCGGUGACAAACCGGAGGAAGGUGGGGAUGACGUCAAAUCAUCAUGCCCCUUAUGACCUGGGCUACACACGUGCUACAAUGGAUGGUACAACGAGUUGCGAACUCGCGAGAGUAAGCUAAUCUCUUAAAGCCAUUCUCAGUUCGGAUUGUAGGCUGCAACUCGCCUACAUGAAGUCGGAAUCGAUAGUAAUCGCGGAUCAGCA